CGGGUUAUGCGCCUUGUGCUAAUAAUUGUGUUUAUAGCAUGUAUGCACUAAAGAGAAACAAUUACCAUCGCUUAGGCUUUCGAUAUUUCACCGCUAUAUUGGCAAUUAUAGUUCCGCAAAUAGUUCCUACAAUCUUCGAGCCACUUAGCAACUGUUGCAAAAGCUGAGCUACACCACCACAUUUAAUUCAUUCGCAACUGUCAUCAAAACUUUAAAAAAAUGAGUAAUAAAAACCGGAAUAAAACGCAAGUGAGGCGAGGCACGUGAGGCGCGAGCUCGCAAAAUCCAAGUUAAAGUCCGUGUAGGAAGCGGUGUUAAUGCGGGGCGAAGGAAGGCUCUCACACGUGCUGUAGACACGUGUAGAAAUCACAGCUAACCAAUAAACAACAAGCGCGGGUGCGGCCAGAUAAAUUGAAUAACACUUGCAAAUAAGCACUGGCACAUUAUGAUAGUGUGCGUGUUCGGAUAGCAAGCAGCAAGACAGGAGUGUUAGAUAUAUUGACGCAGCAGCCGCGGAUAACGGCGGCUCUAAUUACUGUUCGUCCUAAAUCACAUAUGAAUAUUGUCUCCACUGCUCGCCUGAUUAUCAUCCGGACCGGCUGUUGCUUGUGAUAUGUGAGUAUGAACGUUUCUGCAUAUAUUGUUUUAUUUUCUAGUUAUACGGCCGACGAUAAAUUCGGGGACGUGUACAUCAUUAACGGUAAUUACAACAACGGAACAGAUGCUACAAAUUGCAGAAGUUCGCCCUGCAAUUUAUGCAUACGCGAUAUUCAAUAUCCAAAUCAUCGAAACGAGUACAAAAAUAUUUAAGGGCCAGCUAGGGCAACGCACACUGUGGAAUAUACUGCUCUUCAGUUGCUUAAUACCAUAUUUGUCACAAAUUCAAAAAAAAUUAUGACAAUUUGUGUGCUGGUGGGAAUGUGAAAUAUGGUGGAUGCGCCGGGAUAAUGUAAAUUUUUUUUGUGUGCUUUUGAUUUUUUCUAGGCUCUAACUGCUCUAACUGUAACCAAAACUAAAUAGACAAAUUACUAAACAAUAUUAUAGCAGUUUGACUGAAAAGUUCCGUUUGAUAUCUGCCAUAGAUUUCGGUUUUUAUGAUUUUUUUCCGAUUUUUUUUUGAGUCGUAUAAUCACGAAUGGUUUUGGAGCACGACGAAGAAGUACUCCAAUAGAAUGGGUGCCACAAGUAAGUCUUAUUAAAUGAGCGUAAUAUAGUAUUUUUUUACUUUUUAUUUUCGUUGUUUGUUUUGUUUAGUUUAAUUUAUGAAAAUCUGUUCAAACUAUUUCCUCUUAAUUUUGUUAAUUAUUCGGGCUUUAUCAAUAAACGACUUGACGCUGUUGACAGAUCACACACUAAAUCACAGUGAUGACUAACGACACCCAACCCAGCACUGCCAAUACAACUCCUAAAAGUUUACUGAAAAGAGUUCAAAAGUUCUCUUUGUUAAACUUCUUUCAGCUUCACAAUAAACAAUUUGUGCAACCAAA
This is a long non-coding RNA of Tribolium castaneum (red flour beetle), 1487 nucleotides long. RefSeq lists it as uncharacterized. The transcript is spliced from 3 exons. Lineage: Eukaryota; Metazoa; Arthropoda; Insecta; Coleoptera; Tenebrionidae. The record is from RefSeq and is a predicted model, not a curated record.